UUGCCAACAUGACUCAAGCAGGGGCUUGAAACGUGCCUGUGUGAUUGGGCUUCCAUGCUUGUGUUUCAGACUCCGUGAGAAGAACAUGCUUUGACUAGCCACUGGUCCCAAGAAGAGAAUGACACAUACUUGGAGCUCCCUUGAGCCAGCUAGACCUUAGCUCUUCAGCUGUCAGCCCAAUGGAAGAGGUAAAGGAAGCAGGAAGAGGUUUGUGACCGAUUCUGGAUUGAUGACGAGGCCACCGUGAUUCAUACGGCUGUGCAUUUGGCGAAAGACUUCUGGACAGUGGGGCGUUCUAAUGCAACCAGUUUACUGCUCUAGAUUUACUACUCUGUGGCCAGCCAGGUAACCACCAGUGCAAAAUUUGCACAGAGGGUGUUCCGCUUUAUUGAUGGAGGAUCAAGGGAGAGGCAAAGACAGUUGUAAAUGACCAAGAUGAUCAUUUUCAUCCUCAUGAGUGGAAGGAAACUCCUAAGAGGUGCCCAGAGGAUAUAUGUGUCCAAAUGGAAAGUGAUGUUGUACAGCCACCAUGCAAAAUGGUGCAGCUCCUCCAGAAAUAAAACAUUGAAUUACCACAUGAUCCAGGAGUCCCACUUCUUGCCUUUGCCAUGGGGGCAGUAAGCCGCCACAUUAUAAGCUACCCCAUGGAGACCGCCAAUUUGGCAAGAAGCAGAAGGAGGCUUCCAGUGAACAGCCAAUGAGACUUUCAGUCAAGUCACCUCUGAGGACCUGAAUUCUGCCAACAACCAUGUGAAUGAGCUUAGAAGUACACCUUCCCAGGUCAAACCUUGGGAGAGGCCCUAGGACGGAGGAUCCAACCUAACCAUGCCCAGAUUCCUGAUCCACAGAAACUAACUCUCAAGAUAACGGAACGUCUUUACUAGCGACAAGGGAGGAAAGUCUUCAGUAUAAAGGAUUGGGGCACACAACGGAAAACAAAACAAAAUGUUUACUGUUGAUGAAGAUGGCGUCCUGAAUUUUACCUCUCCAGCUCAUUACGCAGGACCAUCGAUGUGAAAAAUGGAGACAGAGUUUUGUUACAGGAGCUGGACUGCCUCAAUGAAGAUGAUGCUUCUACUAUUUUUGAUUGAUGUGUCCUGGACCAUACCUCGCUGUCCUCAGGUUCUUUUGGCCUGGUUUUCAAUGGCUAGUAUUUGAUCAUGAAAAAAAGUAAAUCUCAUGCAAAAGAAACCCUUCGCUCAAAUCUCCCUGAUGCCAUGCUUUAUGGCAUACGUCAUUGUGGGGUACAUCCAAAUGGACCUCCAAGAUGAUAACAAUGACGUCUGUUGGCAAAAUUUACACUGAGAGGAAAACAAUGUCAUCUAUUGACCAGGACCUCAAUCCAUAUGUAUGCAUUUGCCAAGGAGUCCAUAACAAAUGGAACAGGCUGAGGGGCUUAAGCAACAGAAAUGUAUUGUCUCACAGGUCUAGAAGCUGGAAGUCUGAGAUCAAAAUGUUAGCAGGAUUAGUUUCCUCUGAAGCCUCUCUCCUUGGCUUGCAAACGGCCACCUUCUCUUUGCGUCUUCACGUUGUCCUCCCCUCUACGUGUCUGUGCUAAAUCUCCUCUCAUGUUACAUUAGGGGCCAAACUAAUGAUCCCGUUGUGACUUAAUUAACUUCUUUUUAACCAAUUAACCUCUUAAUUAACCUCUUAAUUAACCAAAUAUUGUCAUGAUCUGAGGUACUGGCAGUUAGAACCUCAACGGAUAAACUUUGGUGGAAACGCAACUCAAACAGAUAUAAGCUUAUAACUUCCGGUCUAUCUUAACGGGAUGGAGAUAACAAUAUCCUUAUAUGACUCAUUUUAAUGCUUAAAUAAAGGUAGUCUCUUGAGCGUGUUCUAGAAAUGGUUUUGACCACCAGAGGGCUCCUGUAUUUAUGCAAUGAAACAAUUAGAAUAACGUGUUCAGAAGUAAAUAUGAAGUUUAUCAUGAAAGUUGAAUACUUGAUGUCUGUGUUUUCUUAGUGAAUCAAUCUACAAGCAUCUAUUAAUGAACCUGAUGAUAAUGACAAUGAUGAUACCUUUAUUGAGAGGUGAUGAUGUGUCCUUCACCAUACCAGUUAAAGAAAAAGCAACUUGACUCAAAGCAUCUCUUCAUGCAUGUUGGUCAACUGCAGCAGGGUGAAUCCCAUGAAGGAAAAUUGAGUGGGGACGCAUUUGUCCCCCACUUUGCAGACACUGAAGUAUGAAAUGUGUUGGUGGCCCCUAGGAAAGAUCAAAUCUUAUCAUGCCAGGUACAACACCAGAAGUGCAACAAACAUAUGAAGACAUUUGGUUUUAUAACAGUCGUAAGUAAACAUAUAGUGAUUUGAAUAUACCGUCCUGAAGACGCCUUGGUCUUUCUUGCUUUUUUGUUUUGAGUUCUACUCAAAACGAGAAUUAGAGUAUUCUCAUAUUCAAAGUAUUAGAAACAACUUGAAAGUCAAUCAUGUAGAAAGGUAGUUUUUUUUAUUUCUUUCUCAAUGCAUACAAAGGAAACAUGAUCCAGACCAAAGUCAUUGAUUAAAAGAAUAAGACAAUGUGUACAGUUACACUGGGAAGGGGUUUGUAAUAGAAAAGAUGUCUACGGUCAUAUGCUUGGAACAUGGCUGAGUCUGAUUCACACUUAGGUCUUUUGUCUUGUGCCCAGUGCUCAUCUGAAGAGGUUCGCACCAAAAUGAGCAGCGGGAAUGGGUCCAGUAGAGUCUCAUCCUCCCUGGAGAAUGCUAAGAAAUGUCCUACCUUCUCGUUCCCGGGUGAGCAGCAAGGCAGCCUCAGGGUGAAGAAAGGCCUGAGCUCACUGCAGUUUACGGGAAGGCUUCAAAUUUAUGAAAAUGGUUGUGGUCCAUUUACUUAGUCCUGGAGUGGACAUUCCCAGAUAAGUGUGUUUGAAAUUAUGAGCAAUCUACUCAAGAAGGUAUCUGGUCAAGGUUAAGAGUGAGGCAGGGUCUCUUUAAAUCUACAUUGCAUGUAUAAAAUCUGUAAAAUCCAGCCAAUGUUCAUAAUUAGUGUUAGCUUGAACUAUGUGAAAAUGCUGGUGGAGAUUUCAUAUGGUUCAACUUAAUACUUAAAUAUUUCUACUUGUUAUUUCCAUAAAAAGAUAUCAUUAUGCUGGGAGAAAAAUUGUAUUUGGACCGUACUCAAUCCCUGCUCCCCCUGUGUUAAAUGUGCUUGGGGUAAGAUGAGCCAUUUGUCUAAUGUCGUUUUACCACUUACCUUUGGAAAGGAAGCAGAAGAGUUUGAGAUACCCAACCCAGGGUGUCAAUAUAUACCAACUAUAUAGAUACUGUAUACUAUAUAUGAGACUUAGGAUAAAACGACAAAUGGUAAAAAUGGUAGGAUAUGUUGCAAAUAAUUUAUUAUUAAUAAUAGCUAAAGUGUUGAUGUGUGUGGAUUUUUAACUUAUUAAAAGUAAACCACUGCAGAUUCAAGGUUAUGCCUCUCAUACCGAUACUCCUAGCCAAUUGCACAAUAGACUUUCUUGAAUGGGAAAGAAAAGGCCACACUGGGAGCAACUGGUGCCAUGGGAGAGAGUCAUGCAUGUGGCAUUCAUAUGAAAAGGGUCAUGGAAUUAAAAUCUUGGAAACUGGGGGCACCUGGGUAGCUCGGUUGGUUGGGCG
Molecule: long non-coding RNA, 3599 nt
Organism: Suricata suricatta (meerkat)
Lineage: Eukaryota; Metazoa; Chordata; Mammalia; Carnivora; Herpestidae
Exons: 8
Source: RefSeq, a predicted model, not a curated record